This 207-nucleotide long non-coding RNA is filed under the name Pan troglodytes (chimpanzee). RNAcentral's name for it is "long non-coding RNA NONPTRT004765". Lineage: Eukaryota; Metazoa; Chordata; Mammalia; Primates; Hominidae. The record is from RNAcentral.
CACCUGAAUUGGAGCGGAGGCGCCCUCGAGGCCGGGUCAAAUUUGUCAAGAUGUCCACGAUCCCGAGACACUUUGGCCUGAAAUACAAAGAGGAAUCGUAUAUGUUUAAAGAGCUUGAGAAAGUUCGGCAGGAAACUAAAAAGGAUUUUCUCCGAUUCAAGCAGAAGCUGGCCUCCAAGCCGGCUGUAGAUGAAAGCCCAGUCCACA